ACUCCUACGGGAGGCAGCAGUGGGGAAUAUUGCACAAUGGGCGCAAGCCUGAUGCAGCCAUGCCGCGUGUGUGAAGAAGGCCUUCGGGUUGUAAAGCACUUUCAGUCGUGAGGAAGGUAGUGUAGUUAAUAGCUGCAUUAUUUGACGUUAGCGACAGAAGAAGCACCGGCUAACUCCGUGCCAGCAGCCGCGGUAAUACGGAGGGUGCGAGCGUUAAUCGGAAUUACUGGGCGUAAAGCGCAUGCAGGUGGUUUGUUAAGUCAGAUGUGAAAGCCCGGGGCUCAACCUCGGAAUAGCAUUUGAAACUGGCAGGCUAGAGUACUGUAGAGGGGGGUAGAAUUUCAGGUGUAGCGGUGAAAUGCGUAGAGAUCUGAAGGAAUACCGGUGGCGAAGGCGGCCCCCUGGACAGAUACUGACACUCAGAUGCGAAAGCGUGGGGAGCAAACAGGAUUAGAUACCCUGGUAGGAUAGCG
RNAcentral lists this ribosomal RNA (473 nucleotides) under uncultured bacterium. RNAcentral describes it as "bacterial SSU rRNA". It matches the Rfam family "Bacterial small subunit ribosomal RNA", at positions 335 to 799 of the family's 1533-position model. The record is from RNAcentral.